ACAAGUCCGCUGAAGGAAAGCCUCCAGA
RNAcentral lists this small RNA (28 nucleotides) under Bombyx mori (domestic silkworm). Its description in RNAcentral is "ovarian small RNA-10949". Lineage: Eukaryota; Metazoa; Arthropoda; Insecta; Lepidoptera; Bombycidae. The record is from RNAcentral.